AAUGCACUGUCUUAUUCACUUAAGGAUUGUGAAUGGUUAGUACAAUUGUGCAAAGAUAUGAAAAUUCCUGUCAAAUGUCCAAUCCAGGUUUACCAGGACAACAAAGCAUGUUUGGCUUUGCUGAAGUCUGAAGGUUGUAAGCAAAGCACAAAGCACUUGCAAUUAAAGUUGCAGCAUGCUAGGGAAUGUAUUCAGAAGGGACUCGUAACAGUGUCCUAUAUGCCAGGUAAUGAAAUUCCUGCUGAUGUAUUGUCCAAGAUUGUAUCAAGGGAUCAACACUGUACCUAUGUGCAGAAGUUGGGUUUGUACUGAUACUGUGCGAACACGCUGCCCAGUGAUGUUCACAGAAAGGGGAGGAUGUUGGUUUCUGCUUUCCUUCACUGUGCAGCUCUGCUUGUCACGAGACAGGUGUUUACAUUCCACAGUCUGUACUGUUGGAGUUUCUCACGGGAAAGGGAGACUGGAUGUGACGUACACUGGUUUCCUGUUUUUCACUGUGUGAUUCUCUCCGAGCUGUCGAGGAGAGAGGAUGCAUUUUUCUGCUCCUGCAGAGGCAAGAUGUCUUUCUGUAAUAUACCAGC
Molecule: long non-coding RNA, 581 nt
Filed under: Podarcis lilfordi (Lilford's wall lizard)
Lineage: Eukaryota; Metazoa; Chordata; Lepidosauria; Squamata; Lacertidae
Source: RNAcentral